Vitis riparia (riverbank grape) is the source of this 7073-nucleotide long non-coding RNA. RefSeq lists it as uncharacterized. The record is from RefSeq and is a predicted model, not a curated record. NCBI's taxonomy places the organism in Eukaryota, Viridiplantae, Streptophyta, Magnoliopsida, Vitales, Vitaceae. The transcript has 3 exons.
UAGUGGGUCUCCCCAAAAUUUCAAUAUUUUCUGCGGAUGAAAUUCGUAUUAGCGGGUUCUCACUUUGAUUACUACUAUGAUUUGGAAUUUUCUGACUGGUCUGGCAAUUUUAAAAUCUGGGUUUGCAUUUUCAGCAUCUGGGUCGGUUGAAUUUUUGAAUAUUUCAGUCGUAGCUUUCUGGGUACUUGGUGUAACUGGAAGUCAUGUAAGAAGUUAGUAGCUUAUUUUAAUAAUUUUGGAUAGGGAUUAUAGGGACAAUCCAACAAAUAAUGAACUAGGUUAUUAUUAUUAUUUCUCUCAGAACUGCAAUUUUGAAUUUCUUCGCUGUCUCUUUAUUUUGCCGGAGGUAUUGGGCGAGAUCGUAACUCAUUCUGGGUUUCUUGAAUUCCGUCCAUUUUUCUUGAUGUAUUUAGUUUGUAGACAUGAAGAGGGAUGGUCUCACAAACAAUUAUUAUUAUUAUUAUUAUUAUUUCAAAUUUGGGAUGCAACUUUGCAAGAGGGAUCAACAGCCUGUUUGGAUUCUGAAGGCUCAAUCAAAUUCCUAAAGCCGAUGAUCUUUGAUCAAUUGUUUCUGUAAAAGAGAAUUUUUAUGAUGUCUUGGUUCUGCUGAUCAUGUGAGCAUGAGUUGCCAUUGCAAGUGGGCAUCAGACGGAGCUGUUUAGGAUGGGGCAUACUCAUUUUCUUGUGACUGGAGAUGUUUACUGGAGAGAUUACGUUGAUUCGACUCAUUAUCCUGUAUUUUAUCAGGGGGAAGGAGUUUGUCUUUUUUCCUGGGGGGAGGUGUCUGGUACAGAUGCCACAUGUUAUGCAGCUGAUGAUUGUGUUGUGGGUUAUGCCACUAUUUGCAAAAUUUAGGUGAAAGCAUGUGUCAAGAGAAAGCAAACCUAAUAAUAUCAGAUGAUGCCAUGGUGACAAAUAUGGUUUGGGAAUUAUUCAUCGAGUUGAAUAAUUUUGGAUCUAGGAAUAAAUCAGUAUAAGUUAGUGAAAAAAAAAGUACAAAUAUAUUGGGAAAAUCAGUUCAUGUUAGAAAAAGAAAAUGCAAUGUUUUACAUUCUGGAGUUAAAUCAAUAGAAUUCAUAAUAGUUAUGGAGUAUUGAUAUCCAAGAUAUUUGUGAGAAUAAUCACAAAUCACCUAAAUAGGUAUGACAAAACUGGGUUUGGUACAGUGAAUAAAAAUGUGUCUUUAUGGUUAUUAUUUUCUUCGAAUUUAUGAAAUACCAUGUUGGGGUUUUUAUUUUCUGAAUCACCUUUAGAUAAAUUUGUCAAAUUUUUCAGUGAUAUCAAAAUGCACUUGAUUGGUACAUAUUUCCUAUUCUCCAGGCUGUUAUUUGAACUUGAGAUAUAUUUUCAAGUAUACUUUAUAAUUUUGUUAUUUUUAUGUGAUCAUGCAUUUAUUUCCCGUUUUCUUUAAGCACUUUAAAUGAACUACUUUUCUGGAGAGUUUGCUCCUUUUUUCCACCUGUUUGAUCCUUUACUAGUCCUUUUGUCAAAGGGUUAUUUUACCUUUUGCAAACCAUGAAGAAGAAUUAAUUUACUUAAGAAAGUAAAGUGAGUUUUAUUUUGUUUGGUGAAAUGUCUAACUUUUGUGUACUGCAAAAAGCAAAACUCAGUGCUUGAUGAAUUCUAAUUCUAGUAGGAGCAAUAUUGAUAGUUAAAAAACAGAAGUAUAAAAAUGGAAAGAAUAGUAAUUUGCUGUUGUGUAGGUGAUGCCAAUUGACCUUUUGCUAGCUGCGAUAUCUGGAACACUUUUCCAAUGAUUGGGGUUUUUAGAAACAUUAUUAUUAUUAUUAUUAUUAUUAUUUUAUCAGAAACCUAAUAGAUCUUUUCUAUUAACUAAAAAGAUCAAGAAGGACAAGACAUCCUUCCACAAUGUAGAAUUUAGAUCAAGACAAGGGAAUGGAUUCCUUUACCCAUACCCAUAUGGUUGAACAAAUGAGAUAGAUUACAAAAAGUGAAACAACAUUUGGAACAAAAAUUAGAUAAGAUUCAAGGAGGCACAUAAUCUCCAAUAAAAGAUACCAGUUGCUUAUGUCUGACACUGUUUUAGAUUGUUAGGUACCAACUCCAUUAGAUAUGCAAAAGAAUGAGUUUUAUGUGCUUAUGUAACUAUUUUCCAGGACCUGUUGUGGGAGAUUUGCUUCAUAAGUAUGAUUUAUGAUGUAAGGAUGCUCAAGGGCACAUGUUUUGUGGAUUAUAUUAUGGCCAGCAUUUUUGGCUUGAUUGCUGAAGAAAAAUUCAUAAAUACUUUAGCAUACAAAAUCCUACAAAUAAAUCUACACAUGUACAGAAAUGUUUUCUACUUGUUGCAUGAAUAAUUUAGAUCUCUCUAGAUUUAGGGAGUUUCUGUUUCUAGAACCCAUGUUCAUGAUAAAGAAUGACAUGCGAGAUCUUGUCUGCAUCCAUAGGUCAUAGUUCGGUAGCAACACUUGCUGUUCAAAAAUCUUCCUCCCUAUUGUGAACAAUGUGUUAAGUUUAAUGAUUGGCCUAUACAUGUUUUGGUAUGGAUUGUUAUGGUUUAACCUAACAAACAAGAGAUUCUUGUGUGAAAGGAGUGCUGUGCUCCCUAAUAUGAUGGUAAAGCUAUGGUUGAUUCCUGGAAAGUCUGAGGGAAAGAAAAUAAGGAGAAAAAUAGGAAGAAAGAAAAAGGUAAGAAAAAAUUAUAAAUUUUUUCUUAUUUUUGAUUGUCUAUGGAAAAAAAAAAGGAAAAGAAAAUUAAAUUCCUUGAGUGAUGCACUUUCCCAAACUUUCCUUACCGUCUUUCAAGUAAAAGGAGGAAAAUCUUUUGCCAUUCCUUCCCCCUUCCUUGCCUUUUUCCAUAGUAUCCAAACAUAAGAAAAUUACUAUCCUUGACUUUUUUUUUCUGUGCUUAGCACUUUUUCAAGAACUAAACAUAGGCUAAAAAUACCUUCUUUCACUUUAACCUCAAGGAACAGUUACAAUAUAUUGCUGUAAUAAGCACUAUAGACAUGGGUGCUCUAGUGUUGUGUAUAUACAUAAGCAUUGGAUUUUUUUUUUUUAUAGACAAUAAUCAUUAAACUUGUUAUUCACUUGCAUGAGAGAAGUACACAUUUGGAAGGAUUUGUAGUACCUUUUUUUUUUAUUACCUUUCUCACCUUUGCUGAAAAUAACAACUUUGGUAUAAAGAAAAGAGUCUUGUGGAAUAAUAUAAUAAAAUUUUCUUUGCUAGGGGGUGUGCUAAUAUGUGGGCUAUUUUAGAGCUAUCUAAAACAACAUAUACAUCUCUUUACUUUUGGGAGGUUAUUCAUAAUCAUAUUUUAUAUUUACCUCAAUCUCAUGAUAAUGGAAACUUUGUGAUAGAUUUUUCAGAUUUUGAUUUUUUUUUUUGACAUAUGAGAGCUGAAUCAAGAGAUGACUAAUUGUAAUUUUAGGGGUAGUAUAUUUUAUAAUUUGCCUUCAUGGUGGGUUAAUGAGUUUUGUUUUAUGAUGGUAAAUAGUUAUGCAGUCACAUUUAGUAUUUUCAAAUCUAUGUUUAUAACUUGAAAUUGUUUUGCUAGUAAAUUAUCGUUGUGGAGUUAUUGCAUUUGUAUUUUUCUUUUUAAUACUAGUGCAUAUAAUUCUGCAUCCAAUCUCCAAUAAUUUGUCCAGGGAAAUGGCUAGAAGUUUUGGGUUGUGUGGUGGCAAAGCAAGAAAUAUGAAAGAAGAUUGGUAAAUCAAAUAAUAUUGCUUGAGCUUAUGCUAGAUAUUUGGCUUUUCUGACUGUUAAGCUGUCAGUUAACCUAAAGUUUAAGUUGUUUGAUAAUGGACCAAAAAUGUAUAUUAUGCCAAUUUUCACUUGGUGUAAAACUCUAACAUCCCACCUCAUGGUCCUUGUUUGGGUUAUUAGGCUUUCAUGUGCGCUUAAUAAAAAAGGGAAAUUAGACAUCAGUGAGGUUCAAAUCUAACUCCAUGUUAAGCUUCCAAUUAUCCUAAAAGCUUUUGCUUGGGCUUUAACUCAAGUAUAAAUUGCCAUGAUAUACAUGGUUAGCAUAUAAUCUACCAAUUUAAACUUUUAGGUUAAUUGGUAGUUUAACAUGGUACUGGAACCUUGUUUUAUGGGAGGUCAUGAGUUUGAAACUCAUUGCUUGCUUAUUUCCCCAAUGUGUUGAGCCCACUUAUGAUCCCAAAUAAGGUUGCUCUCUCUACCUGUGAAGUGGAAUGUUAGGUUACAGCCCAAAUAAGCUUCCUUGAGAUGUAGUGUUAGGGUUGUAGCCCAAAUAAGACUAAUAUACAUUGUUGGUAGACUAUUUAAUAGUGCUGCCCAUGAGGUGGGUUGUACCCAAAUAAGCUUGAUAGACAUUGUUGACUUACUACCUCAUAGGGCUGCCUGAUUGUGGCCUAAAUGAGCUUCACUACCUAACAACUUAAACUUUUAGUUAUUUGUUUUCUCCUCCUUGUAUGUAUGCCUAAUGUGUUUUGAUUAAUCAUUUUGAAAAUUGAAAUACCUUAGAAAAAUAAAUGGUGGUCAAAAUUGACAUUCUUCCUAACAUGUAGUGCACCUGAAUGGACUUUUUAUUUGCAAUUUUCCAAGGACCAGCUUUUAAGUUCAAGCUAUUCUCAAAGAUAUCAAUUGUGUAUUUUUAAAGCAAAUAAUAUUAUUAUCUUCUUUGGAGGCCCAAAUAUUUUUGAAAUGUUACAUAGGUUUCCACAGCAGCUGUUUUGUAGGUUUACAUUUUUAAGUAUUAGUAAAGCAAAAUCCUUGAGAGAAAUUUUCUUUUCACUUCUGUCAUCAAAAGGUUUAUUUUGAUGAAUUCAUUAACUAGGUUCCUAGACAUAGCCACUCAGAACUUAUUCAUUUGAACUGAGUUUUUUGUCCUUGUGCAGUGUCCACCUUGCUACAAAGACAUGAGUUUUCGGAUUAAUAUAUAAUUCACUGAAAUAAUUUAUGUGAACUUGUCAGAGGGAUUGCUUGGGAUCUUGUUGAGGAGGUAUGUUUUCUGAUUUUUUGAAUUUUGCUCUGGAGCUGUAAAUUUUGUUCAGUGGACAGUGUUCUCCCAAUGAUUUUUGUAGUUUGUUUUGCAGAGUUUCUUUUAAUCAAUUUUGAAUAGGUUAUUGAGGGCAUGUUUGGGUAUUGCUCUAUUUUCUCGUUUAGCUAUUGAUGCGAGGUUAGCUUCCCAUAUUCCCUGUAUUGAUAAAUUUGCAGCGGCUCAUGCUGUGGAGAUCUGGAAGCUAAUUGUGGAUCACUUCUGUUCUUUCCAUUCUGGUCAUUUUAUUUGUUUAAGGCCAUAUAUGAUCACUUUUAAUUUCGUAAGUGACAUCAUAUUUUCAACUCUUCACUUUAGUUUGUGGUGAUGAUAUCCUUUUCUGUAAAUUCACCAUUCUAGAAGAUGUUGUGCCAACAUGUACUGUAGACACAAAAGAAAUUCAAACAUGUUCUGACUGCUGAUGUUAAAAGGUGAAAAGCUAGAAGUGAAUUGUCGGCAACAAGUCAUCUGUUCUAGGCCUAAAUAAACUGAUGGAUGCAUACAUGAAAGUUAUGUGAAUUCUGUAGUAUAAUUGUAAGCUUCUCCAAUCUUGGUUACUCACCAAGAACUAAUUCUCUUUUCUCAAACUGGUUUGUGUCUAUGACAUCACUUUUUGUCUGUGAGAAAGUGAGGAGGUUGUAAGAAAAUCUCUUUAAAUUGAAAGAGGUUAAAUGGCAAUUUCUGUUGUUGAACUGGCUAGCUAGCCAAGGGUGUACAAAAAUAUAUUUUGAUGGGUAACUUUAUUUAUUUAUUUAUUUUUUGGUGUCCUACUGGGACUUGAACAUGGAACCUCCCACAUCCCCAUUCCAAGCAAUUGGCACCUGAGUCAAGCCUCAAGGGCAAAGGGUGUACGAGAAUGUUCAAUAUUGUUACCAUUUUUUUCCUUGUGAGAGGUUACUUGUUGCCUUCAUUAAAGAUUGCUCUUGCCAACACUUUUUAGGGUAUCUGAUGUUCGAUUGCAGAAGGCCAAUAUUAUCCAUUUUUCCCUGUGGGUUGAAACUAAGUUUGUUUGGAAGUUCUUCUGAACUAGUAAUACAUAUUUUAUUGCCAAGUCUGAUUGAUAGACUAGUUCACCGAGAAGAACAGAAUGACGAGCCACUAUUAUAGGAUUGCAUAUAGGUCUAUGGAAUGUGCAUUUGCAGAAAAUAAAUGAGCUAUAGAUAUUUUAUAUGAAAGGAAAUUUCAUUGAAUUGAUGCUUUUGUGUUGGAAAAUCAGAAAAAAAAAAAAAAACAUCAUUUCUAAUCAAUUAUUGCAGCUGCAGUGGAAUGCAAAAGAAUGAGUUCAAAGCAGGCUGAAUGAUGUUCUUUGAUGAGUGUCUCUGGUUCAUGGGAUCCCCUUCUGCAACUUAUGUCAUGUAAAUUUCUUUUCCUUUCCUUCUUUGAUAAAAAAUUAUAAGGAUUUACGUUUUUCUCUUGUACACAUUGUUUUAAUUGACAGAAGUUCACACCAUCUGCUGGUACCUAGUGUGAACCCUUGUACGCAUCAAGGCCAGCCCCAAAACCCCAGUUUAAUAUUUGACAUGUGAAUCGGGAGCCAGCUCUAACAAUCCAAGAACUCUAGUAACAUAUCUUUUUUUGAAAAAGUUGUAUCCAUUUGGUCAACGUGUGAUUCUAAAGCAGUAAAGACUACCAUCACAAUUUUCCUUUCUAAUGUUUCCACAGAUUUUUCUGAUGAUUCUAUUUGCAGAGACCUUAAUGGUUGAAAUUGGGAAUUUAAACACUUGGCCAAACUCAAUGGAUGAAGAUCUUCGCUGAUCCUAUGAUUUAUUACUCAAAUGCCCGGUCAGUAAGCUCUGUAACGAUAAUCCAUCAUACCUGUGUGAUAAUAAAUCAUCAUAGCCAUAUUUUUCAGGUCAUACAUUUCUUUCCUUUCAUUUUUGUUCUCGUUAUUUUAUUUCCCUUUGCUAAAUGGAAGUCAGGGAUAAACGAUAGAUGUUAAGGCUCAUCCAUCUUUUUUUUUGUCCAUUCUGGCCUGGGUUUGGGCCAGGCAUUGAGGUCUGCCUCAAGAUCUGUGCAUUAUUGGUUGAUUGUAAAUUAUGCAGCUAGGAACAGUGUUGAAGAAACAGAAUAAUUGGAAACUGGGUUUUAUAAUAAACUAGUUUAUCUCUUUUA